This 21-nucleotide non-coding RNA is filed under the name Arabidopsis thaliana (thale cress). Lineage: Eukaryota; Viridiplantae; Streptophyta; Magnoliopsida; Brassicales; Brassicaceae. The record is from RNAcentral.
CAUCUCCAGGACAUUCUACUG